CUUUCCUUUCAGGUUUGGUUUCAAAACUGCAGAGCCCGCCAUAAAAAACACACGCCCCAGCACACGGUGCCGCCCUCGGGGGCCCCCCCGUCCCGCAUCCCCUCCUCGCUCCCCGAGGACAUCCACUACUCGCCCUUCAGCAGCCCGGAGCGGGCCCGGAUGGUGACGCUGCACGGAUACAUAGAGAGUGAGUGCGGGGCCGGGGAGGGGCUGAACAGUUUGGUCCCAUGAAGGUCCCUGCCUUGGCUUGGCUUUAGGGCCCUCAGCCUUCCUUGGGUUCCCUUUGUCGUGGAGAGCAGCGUGUGUGCGUCCUGUGGAACUGGUGUGCCCCUGUGCAAGGUCAGGUACAGUGUGGACAAGUGCACUGUAGACUUCCCUACACUGCUCCACCAGUGCACCUCAAAGCAGACAUGGAAGGACCACUAUCUAAUAGGGGUGAGAAGGUCAUCCUCUUUCAGUACUGACUGCGCGAGCUCUUCCUCAUCUGCCCACGGCGCUACCAGCACCACUGCCCCUCAGUCGCUGAAACAGCGUCCAGCCCGAGGCAACUGUUCUCAGUCAUGCAGGAGAAACUCAGAUCCAGCACUCUCAGUUGUUCCCAUUGACCAGCAUCUAACAUCCACUAUUAUUUCUCCAGCAACACUCUGUGUAUGUGUGUGUCGAGUGCAGAGUUGCAUUUUUCACUUGUUUCUUGUGGACUUGUAGAAUGACAGUGAGUCUCUCCAAGGCAAUGCCAGACACAGCCAAAAUUAGUGACUCUGCUGUGCUUACAAAUCCUGCUCCCCAGUCACGGGAAUAUGAACAGAUCAGUUCACGCUGAGUCACAGGGGGUUCGAUGAUCACCUAUGAAUAUAGAGAAAGGAGGAAUUUACGUGGUUUGGCCUGAUUCUCUUUUUGCACCAGUGAAGCAGUGUUGGUUCCCGGACGUCCCUCCUUAUUUACACUUGCAUGUGUGAAAUCCGAAAUGGGCUCUUUGGCUCAGCAACUCAAUAUACACACAGGACUCCUGAGCCAAAGCCGCAGGUAGCUGCGGCUCCACUAAGUGGAAAACAUGAUGCCAGCUGGAAAUAGGCAGUUUUCCUUCCUCCUCAAAGUGCUUUAGAAUCACAUGUCCUUUGAUCACUCUGUAAG
This 1131-nucleotide long non-coding RNA is filed under the name Anas platyrhynchos platyrhynchos (common mallard). RNAcentral describes it as "lncRNA (ENSAPLG00000030666.1)". The record is from RNAcentral. Lineage: Eukaryota; Metazoa; Chordata; Aves; Anseriformes; Anatidae.